GAGGGGGCAAGCAUCUAGACUAUGGAACAACUUUGCAUUAAGUGGUUUACAAUCUAGCCGGGAAACGCACCCUCACGGUGGAGGACCGAUCAGAGGAGGCUGGGAGCCGCUGAAUGAGUAAAUGGGAGAUGGAGGAAGAGGACUCUUAACUGGGCCUUACGAAAUGGCCACACACAGAGGUCCUGACUCAGAAACGUUUAUAGUUAAAAUGUUGGAGCAGUGAACGCUGAGACGUGGAAAACAGCAUGUCACAGAGGAUCUGAAAGCGGGAAAGUCUGGAAGGAGAGGCCUCAACGCUUAUUUAAAGCAGUAGGUGGGCUGGAGAGACCGCUCAUCGGGUAGAAGCGCCCCCUUCUGGUCCCUGUGAGCACUGCAUGUGUGUCAGAUAGACACGUGUGAGCAAAACAUAAACACACACACACACACACAGAAUGAAAAUUAAAUCUUUAGAAAGAAAAUUGAAGCACUGGUGACAUUCCAGAUUUUAGUUCCCAGGACAAGUGUCAUUUAAAGUCCUCAUAACAAAAGU
This is a long non-coding RNA of Mus caroli (Ryukyu mouse), 529 nucleotides long. RefSeq lists it as uncharacterized. Lineage: Eukaryota; Metazoa; Chordata; Mammalia; Rodentia; Muridae. The record is from RefSeq and is a predicted model, not a curated record.